RNAcentral lists this ribosomal RNA (253 nucleotides) under uncultured bacterium. RNAcentral's name for it is "partial 16S ribosomal RNA". It matches the Rfam family "Bacterial small subunit ribosomal RNA", at positions 524 to 776 of the family's 1533-position model. The record is from RNAcentral.
UACGUAGGGUGCAAGCGUUGUCCGGAAUUAUUGGGCGUAAAGAGCUCGUAGGCGGUCUGUCGCGUCUGCUGUGAAAACUCGGGGCUUAACCCCGGGCCUGCAGUGGGUACGGGCAGAUUAGAGUGCGGUAGGGGAGACUGGAAUUCCUGGUGUAGCGGUGAAAUGCGCAGAUAUCAGGAGGAACACCGGUGGCGAAGGCGGGUCUCUGGGCCGUAACUGACGCUGAGGAGCGAAAGCAUGGGGAGCGAACAGG